RNAcentral lists this ribosomal RNA (393 nucleotides) under Stramenopiles sp. RNAcentral describes it as "partial small subunit ribosomal RNA". It matches the Rfam family "Eukaryotic small subunit ribosomal RNA", at positions 582 to 975 of the family's 1831-position model. The record is from RNAcentral.
AUUCCAGCUCCGAUAGCGUAUAUUAAAGUUGUUGCAGUUAAAAAGCUCGUAGUUGGAUUUCUGGUGGGAGUGAUCGGUCUGCCCCGUUAGGGGUGUGUACUAGUGUCGUCUCUUGCCAUCCUUGGGGAGAACUUGCCUGGCAUUAGGUUGUCGGGCACGGGAUCCCCAUCCUUUACUGUGAAAAAAUUAGAGUGUUUAAAGCAGGCAUUUUGCUGUGAAUACAUUAGCAUGGAAUAAUAACAUAGGACCCUGGUUCUAUUUUGUUGGUUGGAGGCCAAGGUAAUGAUUAAUAGGGACAGUUGGGGGUAUUCAUAUUUAAUUGUCAGAGGUGAAAUUCUUGGAUUUAUGAAAGAUGAACUCAUGCGAAAGCAUUUACCAAGGAUGUUUUCAUUA